CGGAUAUUAGCACUAAUCUUGGAGACCACAAAAUAAAUUGGCUUAAAGCCGAGCUCGAGCGGAUCAACUCGGCCAAAAUCAAUGCACCAGGAAAAAACAACCGAUUGCUUGUCGUCCUCGGUCCGGUCUGAGCAAUCAAAUAAUCCAAGGGAGGAAACAUCAACUAUAUCGAGCACACCACACAAGCUCACACACCGUUCGCUCGCUUGCAUUUUUCUGGGCUACCCUUCCAACAUCAGAGGUUGUCUAUUUAUUUUUUGACAAUCAGAGGUUGUCUAUGCUAUGACCCUAUAUCCCAUCGCGUGUAUACCUCGAGGCAUAUGUACUUUUUCGAGAAUGUAUUUCCUUUUCAGCAGGUACCCCCAUCUGUCGAGUCUUCCGGCGGAGCUUCUCACCGCGCCCCGGACGUGGCACAGGUCUCGCUCGCGGCCUGCCCCUACUACCACCGCUGGCAGGUCGCCCCAUCACCGGGUCCAGCCUUGGCCGCUUCUUCGAACAUACUGUGUUUGAUUAAAUUAGAUCAUUAGCCAUUGAGGGAAAAAGGAAAUAAAUAUUAUCACCCUAUCAGUAUACAUAUUUAACAAAAAUAAAUAAACAUCGAACCUAAGUCAGUGGGGCCGGAAAAAUGAUAAAUGUUUCACAUUUGAGCUACAUAGUAGCGGUGACGACUAAAAUAGACCUGGUGAGAAAAAUGAUUUUGCAUGCUCAAAUAUGCAACUGGAGGGCGUGACUUGGGACCAUCAGAAGUAUUAACAUCAGGUGGCAUAAAACUGUAAUAUCAAAACCAUGGGUAGCUAAGUACAGGUAUCACCACUAAAAACCCCAAGGAAUAUGGCAACGCUAAUUACAGGUAUCACCACUGAAAACCCGAAGGAAUAUGGUAACCACGGGUUAAAGAUGAGGAAAACCAGCACUUCAUAUUAAAUCUGAAGCAAAACCCAAGGAAAAGAUAAUUAUAUUUGUUCUAAAAAUGUAAAUAUUAAAUCUGCAAGCUCCAACUGUCCGUCAUUUAGUCAAAAACAGAAACUACAAACAUGGUCAUCAUUUGGACAAAUGUUUAGCUGCAUAUAGAAUGUAUUUUGUAAUUAGAAAAUGGGUCCUAAUUAAAACAUUUAAAAGAAAUACAUGAAUAGUACCUAAAAGGGAAAUUUAAAAUAGAGACAGGACAGCUCCUCAUUUGGUGAAUGAGAUGAGAGUUGAUGCAUCCAUUCUUCACUGGAUGGUGAAGUUUUAGUAAUACGGACACCCAACAGUUUCAAAAAGAAAUCAGAACACGGGUAAGUGGAGUAAGAAACAAACCUGUGGGACUUCCAUAAAAAUUUCCUAGUCACAACAUUCUGAGAAAUGGUAUUCUGAACAUGUACUAACCGAGCCAGAAAACAAGCCAAUAAGGAGUAUACUAAGUACCAAAUCAUAGAAUCGUAAUAGGUAUAGUGUACCCACUUCUAACAAGAUAAAAUCCUAGGAGAGAAUGGAACGGCCUGCUACAAAUAAAGUAUAACCUGAAAAUAGUAGAUCCACACCAUACUACUCCUUGUUAAUACUUCUUGACAACCUAUCAUACGCCCUCCCCAUGAAAUACCCAGUUGAUGGAGAAUUUUGUUUGGCGCGUCACCCACAAUAAACAGAGAACAAGUCGCUAAGAAAAAGCAAAAAGAUAAAAGACUAAAACUUCACAAAUAACAUACUAGAAUUUUGACCAAAUUUACAUGGUACACACUGUAAACAUAAACACUAGCACUGUAAAAAAACAGUAUUAGAUGCUACAAGCGAUGGACAUGCAUAAAGUAACCAACUACACUGGCCUAUGAAGCUAGCAACCAAGUCAUGAAUGCCAAAUUUUCUGAAUCUGUAAACACAUAGAAAAGUUCAGAUAACGAGUGUAAUUAUAGUAAACCAUGACUGUAACUUUUAAUUUUUAAAACUCUAAACUUACAGAAAAAUCAGAGGAAUACAGAAGCUCAAACUACGUAAAUUUCAACCAAAUUUACACAGAACUCCAUGGUGGUCGGCCUCCUGGUGGUGGCGGCGAUGGGGCAAGGGGGGUGAAGGCGGCCUGGGAGCUCCUCCUCCUACUGCAAGUCAAGGCCGACCCUCCCCGUAGGCAAGUCAAGGCCGACCCUCCCCGUAGACCAGCGGGCUUGCCACCGUCCUAUAGAGAUUUGAGAGGGAGUGGUGGGUGGCAGCCAGGAUCUCAACCCCUCCACGGAUCUCAAAUCAGGAGGAUGAGGGUGGAGGCAGCUGGAUCUAGCACCGGUGGGGGUCAUGGUGAUUCUGGUCCUCCACGGAGCGCGGCAGGUUCAGAUCGGAGAAGAGUGUGGCCGGUGAUGGCUGGGGGGCGGUAGGACCUUGCUGCUGUAGCACAGGUUGUAGGAGGAGGUGAAGGUAGAGAAGGCGGUGGUGGAGGAAGGAGGAGGGUGGACAACUGGACAUUCAAACGCGACCAUGAAAUAGGCCUGCUAAAGCGAGACAGUGCCACUAUAAGGAAAAACGGGAGCUCCUGUUUGACGCUCGUUAGCGUCAAACAGGAGAGCUUCCGCGCAGGGCUCGCGCAAAC
Molecule: ribosomal RNA, 2557 nt
Filed under: Triticum aestivum (bread wheat)
Lineage: Eukaryota; Viridiplantae; Streptophyta; Magnoliopsida; Poales; Poaceae
Description: partial small subunit ribosomal RNA
Source: RNAcentral